UGAUCGUGAAAGAGUUGAGGAUUUUGAUCACACAAGUCGAGAAUCUAACUAUUUCGGCCUUUCCCCAGAAGAGCGCAGAGAGAAGCAAGCUAUAGAAGAAUCCCGUUUACUCUAUGAGAUUCAGAACAGAGAUGAACAGGCUUUCCCAGCCCUUUCCAGCUCAUCAGUCAGUCAGUCAGCUUCUCAGAGUAGCAAUCCAUGUGUCCAGAGAAAAUCAUCACAUGUAAGUGAUAGAAAAGGAAGCAGGCGGAGAAUGGAUACAGAAGAACGAAAAGACAAAGACUCUAUUCAUGGACAUAGUCAGUUGGAUAAAAGACCCGAACCAAGCACAUUGGAGAAUAUUACUGAUGAUAAAUAUGCAACAGUUUCAUCACCAUCAAAGUCAAAGAAGUUAGAGUGCCCUUCUCCUGCAGAACAAAAGCCAGCAGAACAUGUGUCUUUGUCAAAUCCAGCUCCCCUUCUAGUUUCUCCAGAGGUACAUCUAACUCCUGCGGUGCCUUCUUUACCAGCCACUGUGCCAGCCUGGCCAAGUGAACCUACAACUUUUGGACCAACAG
RNAcentral lists this long non-coding RNA (557 nucleotides) under Pan troglodytes (chimpanzee). RNAcentral describes it as "long non-coding RNA NONPTRT013247". Lineage: Eukaryota; Metazoa; Chordata; Mammalia; Primates; Hominidae. The record is from RNAcentral.